AUGUCCUCCUGCAUGUGGACAGGCAGGCCGUGUGCAGGUGCUGUUCAGGAUGUCAGCACGGGGCCUCUCAAGGAGACGCGUCUUUGCCACCCCCCUCCCAGGGCCCACCAGGAAGACAAAGAAAUGACAUGUAUGAGCACCUGCUGUCCACAGGCCAAUUCUCAGCCGGCAAAGAGUCCUCAGCCCGCGAGGAUGCGACAGGCCUGGACCAAACGUCAGGCGAGGUACUUAGCUGGCUUUGACCUGCUGCUGUGGAGUCACCCCUGUGCCCUGGGCCGUCCAGACAGCCAGCGAGAGGUCAGCAGGAGGCCGGUGGGCAGCGCGAUGCUGCUCUGGCCCAGGACGUCGUUGGCGGAUACGGCCUCUGCCUCCAGGAUUUAUCGGGGGCUUGCCUACGCCCUUCUCUCAUCUGGAGAUCAGAGCCAGCAUCUGGGAGACACACGGUGCCCCCAGGGUGGUCUCCCUUGACCUCCACGUUGAAUCUGACAUGGAGCCUGACCAGUUACAUCUUUUAAAUAUUUCUUGGAUCUCCGCUUCUUUUCCGUUCCUAACACCAGGAUCCAAGUUCAGCCACCGAACUUUGUCCCUUUGGUGUUAAUUCAACUCCAAGCCCUGGCUGGCAGGACAGUUGAUGGAGAAUCUGAAUCUGGCCUCAUCUGCCCCAGCUCAGAGCCCUUUGAGGAUGCUCCAUUGUCUCCAGGGAAAAGCUGGGUUGCUGGGUGUGGCAUUCAAGGUCCCCCCGCCUGUCUGUCCUAACCCCAUCAACCCUUCCAGCUUUGUCUCCUGUUACUCCCUGCCUUUUAUGGGUCCACGGAAGCCAAACUGCCCUGGGGCCUCUGGCUGCCCACCGCAUACUUCCCAUUGUUAAAUUUGCCCCGUGCCUCAGAGCCUUGCUUGGCCCGGAAUGUCCUUCCCACCUCUACUAUCUUGUGUACCUGUAAUUUGUCCUUUCAGACAGCCGAGGCAUCAUCGGCUCCUCCAUCUCCUCCGUGUGCAUUUCCAAAUCCUCAGGUUGGGCUUGAUGCCCCCAGGUCGCUCAUGGGCAUCCUGUUGCUUGCCCAUGUGUGUGGAACAACCAGUUAAUAGGCCUACUGAGGGCUGGCAUGCCCAUCUCUGAGCCCUCAGCACCCACAGAGUCUGGCAAACAGGGAUGCUCCGGGCAAAAGUCUGCCAGGCAAAUCCCUGAGAGAGGGGAGAGCAGCCUGCAGGCCCCUGGCUGUCCCUGCACCUGCACACGCUACGGCCCUCGGUCCUAGAAUGCUCAUUUACACUUCCUCUGUGCACCAGUCAGACCCGGGAUGACGCUGAUGGAGAAAUGUUUUGUUUGGUGGUCCCAGAGCCAAGUACCCAGGUGCUUUUUCGGACAGUGGUGGAAAGUGGGUUAUAGCUGUAGGUGGCCUGGAAAACAUCCAGAAGUCAUCAAGAAGUUCCUCGGCUCAGCGGUACCGCCCUUGGUGUGCAUCAACUG
RNAcentral lists this long non-coding RNA (1468 nucleotides) under Vulpes vulpes (red fox). Its description in RNAcentral is "lncRNA (ENSVVUG00000015257.1)". Lineage: Eukaryota; Metazoa; Chordata; Mammalia; Carnivora; Canidae. The record is from RNAcentral.